This 515-nucleotide ribosomal RNA is filed under the name uncultured bacterium. RNAcentral describes it as "partial 16S ribosomal RNA". It matches the Rfam family "Bacterial small subunit ribosomal RNA", at positions 28 to 523 of the family's 1533-position model. The record is from RNAcentral.
GAUGAACGCUGGCGGCGUGCCUAAUACAUGCAAGUCGAGCGAAUGGAUUAAGAGCUUGCUCUUAUGAAGUUAGCGGCGGACGGGUGAGUAACACGUGGGUAACCUGCUCAUAAGACUGGGAUAACUCCGUGAAACCGGUGCUAAUACCGGAUAACAUUUUGAACCGCAUGGUUCGAAAUCGACAGGCGGCUUCUGCUGUCAUUUAUGGCAGGACCCGGGUCGCAUUAGCUAGUUGGUGAGGUGACGGCUCACCAAGGAAACGAUGCGUACCCGACCUGGGAGGGUGAUCGGCCACACUGGGACUGAGACACGGCCCAGACUCCUACGGGAGGCAGCAGUAGGGAAUCUUCCGCAAUGGACGAAAGUCUGACGGAGCAACGCCGCGUGAGUGAUGAAGGCUUUCGGGUCGUAAAACUCUGUUGUUAGGGAAGAACAAGUGCUAGUUGAAUAAGCUGGCACCUUGACGGUACCUAACCAGAAAGCCACGGCUAACUACGUGCCAGCCGCCGCCGUAA